This is a non-coding RNA of Thamnophis sirtalis, 1023 nucleotides long. The record is from RefSeq and is a predicted model, not a curated record. Lineage: Eukaryota; Metazoa; Chordata; Lepidosauria; Squamata; Natricidae.
UCUUAGGAUCGCUGGACAAAUGGGAGCGCCUGACGGUGGCCGAUGCGCUAGAGACGGUCCAGUUUGAGGAUGGAGAGAAAAUUGUGGUCCAGGGGGAGCCGGGGGACGACUUUUUCAUCAUCACAGAGGGCACGGCUUCCGUCCUUCAGCGUAGGUCCGACAAAGAGGAAUAUGUAGAGGUUGGACGCCUGGGGCCAUCCGAUUAUUUUGGGGAGAUCGCCCUCCUGCUCAACAGGCCCAGGGCCGCUACGGUGGUGGCCCGCGGCCCCUUGAAGUGCGUGAAGCUGGACCGCCCCCGCUUCGAACGCGUCCUGGGCCCUUGCUCCGAAAUCCUCAAGAGGAACAUCCAGAGAUACAACAGUUUCAUCUCUCUCACGGUCUAGAGCCCUCUUUGGCUCAUCCUUUUACGUUUAAACUUGUGCACUUAAAAAAAAAACAGGAAAGAAAGAAAGCGAUCUGUGGUGGUUCGUAGCUUUACGAAGGAAAGCAGAGGCACAUUUAUUUUACGCAGAUGUUUUUCAGUGUUGACGUCCCGUGCAUUAGAUGUUCAAUCGCUGUGUAUUGUUAAGAAGACAGCAGGUAGCUGGUUGUCAGUGAUUUUAUGGAAAACGUUAGAUUUUAUCGUUCUGCACUUUGAGUUAAACUCCAGAUUUAUGCCUCCCUGAUUUCUCCAAACUUCCCACCACCCGAUGUAACAUUUCCAGAUCUUUUCACUGUGCAGUGCAGAAACCACUUUCCUGUGUGCCUCAAUUUUUAUUUCUCCUGACAAACUACGUCCAACUCUCACUUCUCUAGAACAACGUAGGGUACUCAUUCAUGUGGAACAUUCUCAUCUAGCGAGACUACAUAACCCAUGUGAUGAUUGGGCAUUGAUGGCCCCAUGGCCCCAGGUAGCAUUGCAGAACUAGCCCAUUAAGAUUUCCAGACAUUGCCCCAAAUAGGUGACCGAAGGUGGCUCAGUGGCUAAGACCCUGAGCUUGUCGAUCAGAAAGGUCGGCGGUUCGGCGGUUCGAAUCCCUAGCG